AUGCGCAUGCACGCCGACGCCGGGUUCUUCUUGGCCCCUGGUCGUCGACGACACAUUAUCACCCCCGGCGCAGUAAAAUCAUCAAUUACCGAUCGACCUGGUCGAUGGAUGCUGCCACCGUGCCACGAGGCCGCUCUUCUUUUCUCCUCCGCCUCAGGUUUGGCAGGGGCAGCAGUGGCUGGAGCACGAGGGCGUGCUGCCCAACCAGGCGCGGGGAGGUGGGUGGCUUUUGGGGGGGCGAGCUGCCUGCCUGUUGGUGGUGGUGACUGGUGCGGUUUGGACGCGAGGCGCAGGCGACGACGAUGCAUGCAGCUCGCGCGCACGCGAUGCAAAGUCGGCCGGCGUGCAUGCACCCCUUCCACCGCCGGCCGGCCACGUGCCGCCCAUCGUACGACGCGAACGCUGCUGCCCAUCCCUGAUCCCUCUGUCUCGCCGUCAAACAUAUACGCGCUGUACACGGAGCCCGCGAGUGGUGUCCUUAUACGAAGUUGGAAUACAUCGGUGCCAUGGGCUGGGGUGCUACCUUUGUACAUGGGCCUCCCCCAUGGAGUUAGACCUGUCAUCACCUUCUUCCUGGCGCACUGGACAUGGGACGGGGCCCCAUGGAUGGGAUGGAGUUCUUCUUCGAAGAUGACGAUUCAGGAAUUAGGAUCAGUUAGGAUGCAGAUGAGAGGGAGAACAAUCCCAGCAGAGUGCCUCCUGCGCUUGAGGCUUCGAUACAUUCUUAUGCUGAUAACAAGGCAGGGUAAACCACUGCAGUCCAAUAGCAGAUCAAAACGGUGUGGCUGCACUGCUAUGAUGUGGCUACUGAGAUCGGAUGAUAACGUUACAUUGAAAGUCGCAUCGACACAUGUACACCGGGGACAUGGUAAAAGAACAAAGAAUGAUUGCGUCGCUGUGGGUCAUGAUCUUGAAGAGGGUUGCGGCCACUUCGACCCCUUGUUGGCGUUAAUCCCACCAAGCCAUGCAGCAAGUCCAAGCAUAGUGAUGGCACUUGUGCCAGCGCUGCUGGAUAGACUCGUCUCCAUGGGAUACUACUGUUCAUUAAUUAAGAAUACAAUAGAUCUCGACUUUGGCAGGCCCCCGAUUAUGGCUGAGCAGAGGAGAGGCAUUGAGGCGGGGGGGUGCGAUGGUUGUGGCUCUAGGCGACUGACCCCCAGCCUCCUUGGUGUCACCAUCGCCCCCCCUUGCAAGCCCGAGGUCCGACAAAUUUUUUGUGCCUCCACCACUUGGAUCCUAGGUGAUCACCACGCUUGCAAAUUCCAGAUGGACCAUUGGCCGGAAGGAUCCUACGUCUCUGAGCUUGCGGCCUUCAUACAUUCAUGGCGGCCUUGGCCCUCCGGACACGUCGAGUACAUCAACAUCUGGCGGUGUCUUCGCAACAUCGCCGUCAGGACAUCCCGACUCCAUCAGUUGGGCUGGACCGAGAAUGACUCAUACACCGCCAAGUCCUGCUACCUUCCAAUCUUCCAUGGAUCAACACAAAACCCUCAUUGGCGGCUUACUUGGAAAUAUUGGGCCACACUCAGUGGCGAGCCCGUCCUUUGGCUUGCCGGGCUUGCUCAGUGCUAG
Molecule: ribosomal RNA, 1572 nt
Filed under: Triticum aestivum (bread wheat)
Lineage: Eukaryota; Viridiplantae; Streptophyta; Magnoliopsida; Poales; Poaceae
Description: partial small subunit ribosomal RNA
Source: RNAcentral